This 78-nucleotide transfer RNA is filed under the name Candidatus Bathyarchaeota archaeon. Its description in RNAcentral is "tRNA-Pro". It matches the Rfam family "tRNA". From Rfam's summary of the family: Transfer RNA (tRNA) molecules are approximately 80 nucleotides in length. Lineage: Archaea; Thermoproteati; Candidatus Bathyarchaeota. The record is from RNAcentral.
GGGGCUGUCGGCUAGUAUGGUUCAGGCUACGUGGCUUGGGCCCACGUGACCGGAGUUCAAAUCUCCGCAGCCCCACCA